RNAcentral lists this ribosomal RNA (463 nucleotides) under uncultured bacterium. RNAcentral's name for it is "partial 16S ribosomal RNA". It matches the Rfam family "Bacterial small subunit ribosomal RNA", at positions 28 to 507 of the family's 1533-position model. The record is from RNAcentral.
GACGAACGCUGGCGGCGUGCUUAACACAUGCCAGUCGAACGGUAAGGCCCUUCGGGGUACACGAGUGGCGAACGGGUGAGUAACGCGUGAGUAACCUGCCCUUCACUCUGGGAUAACAGUUGGAAACGGCUGCUAAUACCGGAUAUUCAGCUCCUGUCGCAUGGUGGGGGUUGGAAAGUUUUGGUGGUGGAGGAUGGGCUCGCGUCCUAUCAGCUUGUUGGUGGGGUGAUGGCCUACCAAGGCGUCGACGGGUAGCCGGCCUGAGAGGGCGACCGGCCACAUUGGGACUGAGAUACGGCCCAAACUCCUACGGGAGGCAGCAGUGGGGAAUAUUGCACAAUGGGCGGAAGCCUGAUGCAGCAACGCCGCGUGCGGGAUGACGGCCUUCGGGUUGUAAACCGCUUUCAGCAGGGACGAAGCGCAAGUGACGGUACCUGCAGAAGAAGCACCGGCUAACUACGUG